Molecule: long non-coding RNA, 309 nt
Filed under: Drosophila guanche
Lineage: Eukaryota; Metazoa; Arthropoda; Insecta; Diptera; Drosophilidae
Source: RNAcentral
UUCUUCUCAGGGCCAGCUUAGGGAAAUUCCAAUAUUAUGUCUCCAUUUGAAGUUCCAAGGCAAACUAAUCGGUUUAGUGCAUUCUCAAAGCCCACAGAUCACAGUGCAUAGUGAGCUGCAGCUACUGUAUAGUAAGUGUAUAACCACGUCUUAUUGAUAAGCUGUCGACAUUCGUUCCAUGGAGAAUUAUGACCUUUAUAAUUUUCCAGCUUAGGCUUGUUUUCCGAUUGUUUGCAUUAAUUUCUUUGGGCGCUCCACAAUGGGGGAUUGGUCACGGUAGCGUUUCGCGUAACAAAAAUUCGAGUAAUC